CCUACGGGGGGCAGCAGUAGGGAAUAUUGCACAAUGGAGGAAACUCUGAUGCAGCGACGCCGCGUGAGUGAUGAAGGCCUUCGGGUCGUAAAGCUCUGUCGCAGGGGAAUAUGUACCCUGCAAGAAAGGAUCGGCUAACUUCGUGCCAGCAGCCGCGGUAAGACGAGGGAUCCUAGCGUUGUUCGGAAUCAUUGGGCGUAAAGCGGGUGUAGGUGGCUUUGUAAGUCAGGUGUGAAAUCCCAGGGCUCAACCCUGGACGUGCAUUUGAUACUGCGAAGCUUGAGUGUAGGAGAGGAAGAAUUCCUGGUGUAGUGGUGAAAUACGUAGAUAUCAGGAGGAAUACCGGAGGCGAAGGCGGCUAUCUGGCUACACUGACACUCAGACCCGAAAGCGUGGGGAUCAAACAGGAUUAGAUACCCUAGUAGUC
Molecule: ribosomal RNA, 427 nt
Filed under: uncultured bacterium
Lineage: Bacteria
Description: partial 16S ribosomal RNA
Rfam family: Bacterial small subunit ribosomal RNA
Source: RNAcentral